RNAcentral lists this ribosomal RNA (301 nucleotides) under uncultured bacterium. RNAcentral's name for it is "partial 16S ribosomal RNA". It matches the Rfam family "Bacterial small subunit ribosomal RNA", at positions 509 to 808 of the family's 1533-position model. The record is from RNAcentral.
CAGCCGCCGCGGGAAUACGUAGGUCCCGAGCGUUGUCCGGAUUUAUUGGGCGUAAAGCGAGCGCAGGCGGUUUGAUAAGUCUGAAGUUAAAGGCUGUGGCUCAACCAUAGUUCGCUUUGGAAACUGUCAAACUUGAGUGCAAAAGGGGAGAGUGGAAUUCCAUGUGUAGCGGUGAAAUGCGUAGAUAUAUGGAGGAACACCGGUGGCGAAAGCGGCUCUCUGGUCUGUAACUGACGCUGAGGCUCGAAAGCGUGGGGAGCGAACAGGAUUAGAUACCCCUGUAGUCCCUGUCUCUUAUACA